CCUACGGGUGGCAGCAGUAAGGAAUAUUGGUCAAUGGACGAAAGUCUGACCCAGCCAUGCCGCGUGGAGGAUGAAGGUCCUCUGGAUUGUAAACUUCUUUUAUAUGGGACUACAAAAGGCCUUUCCAGGUCGUCUGACGGUACCAUAUGAAUAAGCACCGGCUAACUCCGUGCCAGCAGCCGCGGUAAUACGGAGGGUGCAAGCGUUAUCCGGAUUCACUGGUGUUAAAGGGUGUGGGUAAGUCAGUGUAGAAAUCCCCGAGCUUAACUUGGGAACUGCCAUUGAUACUAUCAGUCUUGAAUACCGUGGAGGUCAGCGGAAUAUGUCAUGUAGCGGUGAAAUGCUUAGAUAUGACAUAGAACACCAAUUGCGAGGGCAGCUGGCUACACGAGUAUUGACACUGAGGCACGAAAGCGUGGGGAUCAAACAGGAUUAGAUACCCUGGUAGUC
This 450-nucleotide ribosomal RNA is filed under the name uncultured bacterium. Its description in RNAcentral is "partial 16S ribosomal RNA". It matches the Rfam family "Bacterial small subunit ribosomal RNA", at positions 338 to 795 of the family's 1533-position model. The record is from RNAcentral.